This 480-nucleotide ribosomal RNA is filed under the name uncultured bacterium. RNAcentral describes it as "bacterial SSU rRNA". It matches the Rfam family "Bacterial small subunit ribosomal RNA", at positions 1 to 503 of the family's 1533-position model. The record is from RNAcentral.
UAGAGUUUGAUCCUGGCUCAGGACGAACGCUGGCGGCGUGCUUAACACAUGCAAGUCGAACGGUGAACCCCUUCGGGGGGGAUCAGUGGCGAACGGGUGAGUAACACGUGAGCAACCUGCCCCUGACUCUGGGAUAACCCCGGGAAACCGGAGCUAAUACCGGAUACGACCUGCUCGGGCAUCCGAUGCGGGUGGAAAGAUUUAUCGGCUAGGGAUGGGCCCGCGGCCUAUCAGCUUGUUGGUGGGGUAACGGCCUACCAAGGCGACGACGGGUAGCCGGCCUGAGAGGGCGACCGGCCACACUGGGACUGAGACACGGCCCAGACUCCUACGGGAGGCAGCAGUGGGGAAUAUUGCACAAUGGGCGAAAGCCUGAUGCAGCGACGCCGCGUGAGGGAUGACGGCCUUCGGGUUGUAAACCUCUUUCAGCAGGGACGAAGCGAAAGUGACGGUACCUGCAGAAGAAGCACCGGUCGGGCC